AAAGAAAGUAAGCAAGGGCGCAUGGCGGAUGCCUUGGCUCUCGGAGGCGAUGAAGGACGUGAUAAGCUGCGAUAAGCUUCGGGCAGGUGCAAAUAACCUUUGAUCCGAAGAUUUCCGAAUGGGACAACCCGUCAUUCUGAAGGAAUGACAUCUUGCAUAGCAAGAGGCUAACGCAGGGAACUGAAACAUCUUAGUACCUGUAGGAAAAGAAAAUAAUAAUGAUUCCCCUAGUAGUGGCGAGCGAACGGGGAUUAGCCCAAACCAAUGUUGUUACGGCAAUAUUGGGGUUGUAGGACCACGAUGUCGCAAGAAGUUUAGUGAGAAGAACCCUUUGGAAAAUGGGACCAUAGACGGUGAUAGUCCGGUAUUCGAAGCUAAAUGAAGCGUAGUGGUAUCCUGAGUAGCGCGGGACACGAGGAAUCUUGCGUGAAUCUGCCGGGACCAUCCGGUAAGGCUAAAUACUCCCGAGAGACCGAUAGCGAACCAGUACUGUGAAGGAAAGGUGAAAAGCACUUCGAAUAGAAGAGUGAAAUAGUCCCUGAAACCGUGCGCCUACAAGCGGUCGGAGCUGCUUCAGCAGUGACGGCGUGCCUUUUGCAUAAUGAACCUACGAGUUACUUUUUCCGGCAAGGUUAAGGAUCUUGAGAUCCGCAGCCGAAGCGAAAGCGAGUCUUAAUAGGGCGAUUAGUCGGAAGGAGUAGACGCGAAACCAAGUGAUCUACCCUUGGUCAGGUUGAAGGUUAGGUAACACUAACUGGAGGACCGAACCGAUAAGCGUUGAAAAGCUUCCGGAUGAACUGAGGGUGGGGGUGAAAGGCUAAUCAAACUUGGAGAUAGCUCGUACUCCCCGAAAUGCAUUUAGGUGCAGCCUUGGGAAUUACUACUGUGAGGUAGAGCGACUGAUAAGAUGCGAGGGCUUCACCGCCUAUCAAGUCUUGAUAAACUCCGAAUGCGCAGUAGUUCGAUCCCAGGAGUGAGGGCAUGGGUGCUAAGGUCCAUGUCCUAAAGGAGAAGAAUCCAGACCAUCAGCUAAGGUCCCGAAAUAAUUGCUAAGUUGAACUAACGAAGUCAGAUUGCUAAGACAGCUAGGAUGUUGGCUUGGAAGCAGCCAUUCAUUUAAAGAGUGCGUAACAGCUCACUAGUCGAGGAGUUUGGCGUGGAUAAUAAUCGGGCAUUAAGCAAUUUACCGAAGCUAUGGGAUCACUAACGAUCGGUAGGGGAGCAUUCCACUCUGCGUCGAAGGUGAAGCGUGAGCUUUGCUGGAGCGUGUGGAAAAGCAAAUGUAGGUAUAAGUAACGAUAAAGGGGGUGAGAAACCCCCUCGCCGAAAGACUAAGGUUUCCUGAUCAACGCUAAUCGGAUCAGGGUUAGUCGGGUCCUAAGGCUCAGCCGAACGGUGAGGCCGAUGGCAGAACAGGUUAAUAUUCCUGUACUACCUUAAGGAGUGACGUGGAGACGGAGGAGUGACAACGCCGCGGACUGACGGAAUAGUCCGUUGAAGGGUGUAGAUGUUGAUUAUCCCAGGCAAAUCCGGGAUAAGAGUCGAACCUGAUAGUAUACCAAAUUCUUCGGAAUAAGGUAAUAGUGCGUGUAAGCAUACUCCCAAGAAAAUCCGCUAAACUUAAUCUUUAAGGUACCCGUACCGCAAACGGACACACGUAGUCGGGUUGAAUAUACUAAGGCGCUUGAGUGAUUCACGGUUAAGGAACUAGGCAAAUUGACCCUGUAACUUCGGGAUAAAGGGUCCCAACGAGAGUUGGGCGCAGAGAAUAGGUCCAGGCAACUGUUUAACAAAAACACAGGGCUGUGCUAAAUUGAAAGAUUACGUAUACAGCCUGACACCUGCCCGGUGCUGGAAGGUUAAGAGGAGAUGUCAUCGCAAGAGAAGCAUUGAAUUGAAGCCCCAGUAAACGGCGGCCGUAACUAUAACGGUCCUAAGGUAGCGAAAUUCCUUGUCGGGUAAGUUCCGACCUGCACGAAUGGUGUAAUGAUCUGGACACUGUCUCAACCGUGAGCUCAGUGAAAUUGUAGUAUCGGUGAAGAUGCCGAUUACCCGCGAUGGGACGAAAAGACCCCGUGAACCUUUACUAUAGCUUAACAUUGAAUUUGGGUAAUUGAUGUGUAGGAUAGGCCGGAGACUUUGAAGCAGGUACGCCAGUAUUUGUGGAGUCGCUGUUGAAAUACGGCCCUUUGAUUAUUUGAGUUCUAACUCGUAGAUACGAGGACACUGUUUGGUGGGUAGUUUGACUGGGGUGGUCGCCUCCAAAAGUGUAACGGAGGCUUCUAAAGGUGCCCUCAGGACGAUUGGUAACCGUCCGUAGAGUGUAAUGGCAUAAGGGCGCUUGACUGGGAGACAGACAAGUCGAUCAGGUAGGAAACUAGAGCAUAGUGAUCCGGUGUUUCCGUAUGGAAGGGACAUCGCUCAAAGGAUAAAAGGUACUCCGGGGAUAACAGGCUGAUCCCUCCCAAGAGCUCAUAUCGACGGAGGGGUUUGGCACCUCGAUGUCGGCUCGUCACAUCCUGGGGCUGGAGAAGGUCCCAAGGGUUGGGCUGUUCGCCCAUUAAAGUGGCACGCGAGCUGGGUUCAGAACGUCGUGAGACAGUUCGGUCUCUAUCUAUCGUGGGCGUAUGAAAUUUGCGUGGCUCUGACACUAGUACGAGAGGACCGUGUUGGACUGACCGCUGGUUUACCAGUUGUGCCGCCAGGUGCAUUGCUGGGUAUCUAAGUCGGGAUUGGAUAAGUGCUGAAAGCAUCUAAGUACGAAGCCAGCCACAAGAUUAGAUUUCUUAGGGUCGUCAAAGACGAUGACGUUGAUAGGAUGCAGGUGUAAAGGUGGUAACAUCAAAGCCGAGCAUUACUAAUUGCCCGUUCACUUUCUUU
RNAcentral lists this ribosomal RNA (2880 nucleotides) under Bacteroides ovatus. RNAcentral's name for it is "23S ribosomal RNA". It matches the Rfam family "Bacterial large subunit ribosomal RNA". Lineage: Bacteria; Pseudomonadati; Bacteroidota; Bacteroidia; Bacteroidales; Bacteroidaceae. The record is from RNAcentral.